RNAcentral lists this small RNA (155 nucleotides) under Aliarcobacter butzleri JV22. Its description in RNAcentral is "Arcobacter butzleri JV22 non-coding RNA". It matches the Rfam family "Bacterial large subunit ribosomal RNA", at positions 13 to 184 of the family's 2925-position model. The record is from RNAcentral. Lineage: Bacteria; Pseudomonadati; Campylobacterota; Epsilonproteobacteria; Campylobacterales; Arcobacteraceae.
AAGGGCUAAUGGUGGAUGCCUAGACUGUAAGAGGCGAUGAAAGACGUAUUAGGCUGCGAUAAGCCUCGGGGAGCUGCCAAAGAGCUUUGAUCCGGGGAUUUCUGAAUGGGGCAACCCAAUAUAAUGAGAAUUAUAUUACCCUACGGGGAGCGAAC